Molecule: unclassified non-coding RNA, 5284 nt
Filed under: Leishmania donovani
Lineage: Eukaryota; Euglenozoa; Kinetoplastea; Trypanosomatida; Trypanosomatidae
Description: gene:LdHU3.12.0270(CDS-product:ubiquitin_hydrolas e_putative)
Source: RNAcentral
AGUUGCCUUCUUGUCCGUCUUGUGACUCCGCCGCACACCAGCCGGUCUUUGCGGAGGGUGACAGUGGUGGAGACACGCGCACGCAGAGAGAAGGUGUGCGAAGCAGACCAGGUCGUAGGGACAACACACGGAAUUUGGUACACACACACACACACACGAACACGCACGUUAACGCCUCGUGAGCCGGAGUGAUCGAGGACAUGGUCAAGCUACAUCAAAAGCACGCGUCUGCUGUAGCGACAGACGCGCAGGCGGAGAGCGACGCCACCGCGAUGCACCAGGGCCCGGUGCCGCCGCCGCCUCCCGAAGAAUUGGUCCCUGAUGCAGGCCCCAGUGCUGCUGAGGUCCCGCUGGGCGAUCCGGUCGAGUUCAUACUUGACCGAGUCGACUCCAUCGAGCGAUGGCGAUCGACAGUCGCGCGUCUGAACCUGGCGCAGCUGGGCGUUUCCCUGGUGCGCGGUGUACUGCGACGCGGUCGCUAUUCGACGCCGCCGAUGCGCGUUUUCGAUGCCGCAGAGAAAACAGCGCCGGCAACGGAUGCGGCAGAGGCUGAGGAGCCCGUCCAGUCGUUUUAUCCAUCGCAGCCGGUGCCACCGUGGCUGUGUCCCCACACGUCGUUCGAGAUCAGGCAGGUGGCUACGCAGGUGGCCGAGCAAGAUGAAGCUGCACAGACUCUCGUGAGGGGCGUUGCCUCUCCAGCGCCCGGGCAGGCAACACAUCGCCCGCCCAAUCACCACCGUCGCGCACAUCCCUCCAUGCAGCCCAGCGUUGCUCGGCGCGCGCUCGUGCAGACGGCCAGCCGCGCCUCUGUGCCGCUUUAUAUGGGUAUGCUGAUCGCAUUCAUUGGACACGGUGUUGCGUCCAUGUACAAUGCAGACACAGCGACAGGCCUGCUCGGUGCGAGUGACGCGGCGGCAGGGCGAUCCGUCCAGACACCGGCGCCCACGCCUGGUGCCGUCGCCGGGCGCUUGCCCACGUCUAGCCGUCAUCUGCACUUCACCACCGAGAUGACCAGCGCACUCCACGAGGUUCACCGUGCAGCGGCUGAGGUGAUUUGCAUGGUCGAUCACGAGUCGAAGGAGAUGCACGCGCUCGCAACAGCCGCACUCCAGUCGGCUGGAAAAGCGACAGCGUAUCGGACGGACGAGGAUGAGCAGGUGCAGGACAUGCGCCACGCGCAGCUCGGUCGAUCAUGUCGUCACCUUAGCCGCAUCGUGGCAAAUCUCUACUCUCUUGUGUCCCUCCUGGACUUCUUUGCAGUGGAGAGUGCGUCCUUGCCGACGCCGACGCCAAGCACCGCGGCAGCGAGUGGUGCAGGUCACUCGAACAUGAGCAGCGCCAACGUCGGCUUCCUAUCGACAUCCUCUGCUUCGGAGGCCGCGGCGUUAGCGAUGGAGAAGCGCGGUGCUCAGACAACCACUGUGGCGCCGUACACAGACAGCAGUACUCCAAAUGCCACACCGAUGCCCUCCGCCAUGAAGAAACAUGUCGCCAACGGGGCGGCCCCCGCGCACCCCUAUACGACGGAGCGCUUCCAUAAGCUCUUCGAUGCAUCUGGCCACUUGCCGCAGAGCGUGUGGAGGGUGUUCUCCGCCGUCGCCACCACAUUGAGCCAGUUCGCAGUGUCCUGGUCCCUCACAACGGGUGAUGCGCAGAGUCGGCAAGCAUUCAACAGUGCAGCGUGCGUGAUACUCGGCGAGGAUCAGCGCUGCCUGCUGCUGCAGCUGCAUCGGCUGUGUGCGCGCUUUAUCGUGCUGCGCCACCGAGUGUACGCGCUGCACCCCGUCAACUCUCUGCACUUCAAGGUGAAGCAGAUGCUGGAGUGGAGCGGUCUCCUCAACGCCGACGUGCCGGAUGCGUGGUCGUACAACAAUGGCGACAUUGACCGAUGCGACUUACACUCUGAUCGACUGCACAGCACCUACGCGCGCGGCCUUCGGUGGAGCGUCAACUCGAGCAACAAGAUGGCGCUUCAAGCGGCGGUUGCGUGUCCGUACACGACCGCGGCGCGCGACUCAGCGCUGCGUCGGAUGAAGGAGUCGAGCGCGUUUUCUCCAGGCGGCAGCGCCGUCGCUGGCGGGGGGGGCGUCAACACUGCGAGCGAUGGCGGUGCAUCGGCCCCGCUCUCUCUGCUCACCUCGCUCGCCUCUGCCGGGGCAAACGGCGGUGCCAACGCCGCCUUCGCCGGGCUUUUGGCAGCGCCGUUGUCAUCGGCAUCUGCGGCGCCGGAGCAGAGUUCCAGCGUGGCUGCACUAUCCCAGCGCUCCGUCGUGCCGGGCUACGUUGGGCUGCGGAACAAUGGUAACAUGUGCUUCCUCAACAGCGUUGUACAGCUUCUCGGCAGCGCUGCGCUGUUCCGCGACGAUCUCACGGCACGAUUGCAGGAUGCUGUCUUCUGCAACUCGGCACACGCCGAUCACCGGGCUCCUGCAGCCGCGCAUGCGGAGAAUGCCCAUGCGAUGGCGGCUCCCUUUGCCAAGUAUGGAUGUCGCCUCGCCAUGGCGCUUCUUCUCGGUGAGAUGCAGUGGCGUGGGUCGCAUCGACACAGUCGCCUCCCGGUGUUGCCGGACUACCUCAUCCCACAUCUGCCCCCGCCGUUCGAUGACCAUCGACAGCACGACGCCUCGGAGUUCUGGCACGCACUAAUGGACAAACUGGACGCGCCGAACCAGCCCGGGGGGGCGGUGGUGGCGCGAUGGUUUAGCGGGCGAACGGCGACGACGAUGACGUGCGUCACCUGCCAGCACACGCGUCUGCACACCGACACCUUCUGGGAUCUCUCGAUCCCACUCCUGCGCGCUACCUCGCCCCCCUCCGUACCAGCGUCCGUGGGAGGCGGCGCGCCGACGCCACCUUGGGCACCGGUGGCCGCGGCUGGCCGGCCGGUGAGCCAAGUAGAGGUGCAGCACUUUGCCCGCGCCACCGCCGUGACCACCACCUACGCGAGCUCGCCAGCAUCCGACUUUCCAGCCAACGCGUCGACCACGGCAGAUGCGUCUGCGGAGCUGGAAGCGGCGGAGCGCGCAGAAGAGGAGGCAGCAGAGAGGGUCAACAACAAAGCAGCGCUGAACCAGCGCCCCAUCGUGCCCAGCAGUGUAGCCGAGCCGUACUCAACCACACCGCUGCCGUCCUCGAUGGUGGCGGCCGACGAGGUACCCAAGACGCUGCAGCACCUGCUGCUCCAUGUGCUGCACCCGACUCUCAACAAGGAGCUCUUGCAUGGCAGCAACGCCCUCGACUGCGAGCACUGCGGCCGACGCACCGACACAGAGCUCACGACACGCCUUGUCGCCGAGGUCGAAAGGGAGGCUGAGGUAGGGGUCGAUACGGCAGCAGCAGGUGCGCCGGAAGAAUGCUUAGGCGCCGUGCAGGAAGCGCGCGUCUCUUCUGGCGGCAGCGCCGCUGCAGCCGCGUGGGAAAGUCUCGUUGAAGGCGAGCCGCCCACACCCUGCGCAGCGGAUGAACGAGCGUCGCCACAUGGGGAGUCGAAGUGCGUGGAGCACGACUUGGCGCUGUCGCACUCUCUCACCGACACGGCGGCCGGAGGUGGUCUGCCAUACUACCUCGCUGUUCAGCUGAACCGCUUCGCGUACCGGCGCGCCACACAGACCUACGAGAAGGUCACCGAUGGCGUGCCUCUCAAUGAGGUUAUCGUUGUCCCGGUGUGCCCCGAGAUCACAGAGCCAAAAGACGGAGCAGCAUCCCCGGCCGAUUCGCAGGAGUUCAACGCACAGACUGCGAUGCCCAACGAGGAGGAUGGCGACGCCAAUACGCAGCGUGAAGACGACGGCCGUCACGGUGGCCCCUCCACUCGAACUCCGACGGCACCGCGCUCUGCAGCGCCAGCGCUUCCGGUGUGGGUCGCGUACCUUCUGCGGUCAAUCAUCAUCCACAGCGGCUCCACGCCUAGCAGCGGCCACUACUUCGUCCUUACGCGCCGCCUCGCAGCGGUGCCGGCGUACACGAACGUCAAUGAAAGCAGCCACGACGAAGACGGCGAGUACAAUGCCAGCGCUGCUGCUGACGUGUCAUCCAUGCGCGCGUACGUGAAGGGUCUGGGGGCUGCCCUAACGGCUUGCCUGGGCGCCGAGCGUCACUUCUCCUACGCGGAACUUGUGCAGCCAACGGCGGGCGCGGAAGGCGAGGGCUGGUCGGCGUGUGCCGAUGUGGAGGGCGCAGGGCCAAAGUCGCAGGGCAGGCCCGCUGUCGCUUCCCUUUCGAGGGGCACAGCGGAGACGGUGCAGUCGCCGGCGCUUUCUCCACCACCAACUCUUCCAACGGCCGCUGUGUCCGUGAGUGGCGACCGCCUGUACGAGAACUGGGUGAUGCUGAACGACUCCAGCGUGCAGACCGUUGAGCCGGACACAAUGCGCCACCUCCUGCACGGGCGCGGCGGCGGUGUCUACUCUGCCUCGGAGACGCCGUACAUUAUCUUGUACGAGAAGUUGCCUUUGGCCUCCGAAGGGACGGCGGUGCGCGACGCUCUGCUAGAGGAUGAGGAGGCGACAGAUAAGCGCGUGGCUGGUGCUGCGCUGUGGGAGACCCACCAUGCUUCGGUAGGCGCUUCCGGCGUCACCUCCGCCGGUGACACGAGCAGCAAGCCGGUUCAGUUUGCCCGUGAAGUGCUACAGAUCUUUAACGCGCGGCUGAAGGAUGAGGUCGCGCACAACGCCGCUCUCAGCGAGGCGCCACGAACGGCAGAUGGGCAUGGCUUCACCUCCACAAAAAGCAGCGAAGCAAGCUCGCGGCCUACGCCGGUGGGAACGGUGGUACAUCAGGGGUCGUCUGCCACGGCUUGGAGAACCAUUGUCGCCCGGUCAUCGUGGUCUCGCGCGACCGGUGUUGGCGACGCAGCUCGUGCAGCAGCAGUCAAGGCCUCCCUCAUUGAUGCGAGCAAGGUCAUACCAACAUGCUUUAAGGGCACCGGCAGCGUUGGUCGUCCUUCGGCGUCGCACCGGCCGCGUCGGCUAAUGUCCACGGUCAAGUACGCCAAACUCCCCCGCAGCAAGCGCUACAACGGCAAUCUCAACCGUCACAGCACACAGGAGCACCGCCAUCGUGGCGGCACGGCCGCACGCAGCUCAAGUGGCAGCGGCGCAGGCUCAGACGCCGAUGACGAGCAGGACGAGCCUCGCAGCUAGCAGUGGAGAGUGCCCAUGCUGCCACGCACGCGCCGGUGAGCCGCACGUGCACGUGCGUGUGCGGUUGGGGGAGGGGAGGGGGGCGACCACCGGCGUACAAGGUUUACGUUUUUUUUUGUGCCUGUUCUCAGUGAUGCACAUCG